CGCAGAGGACCCAUCUCGAAACGUGGGAAACCAGCGCUGCUAUUUUUAGGAAAAGGGUGGAGAAUGGAGGAUGGACCAGCCCAGGAGAAGGCACAGCCAUCAGCCACUUCACCCAGUAGCUGAGCCACUCACGGCCCCGUCUGCGAUGAAGACAGAAGGCCCCAUCAGAGAAGCUACGCACCUCACCGAGGUGCCCCCUGCCCCCGCGAUCCACACUGCCAAACAAAUACAGACAUCUACUGUCGUUUUUAAAUAAGGCUCAGCUUCUGUCCCUGGGCCCUGCCCUGGUCCUCUGCAGAAUCAUCUACUUGCAUCCGAAGCAGUUCCUACGAAGGGGUAACGUACAUGUUAUUUGCAUGUGCUUCCUCUCUGGUCUCUUCUGCCUGGUCCCAUUAUGGCCCCAGGACACACACUGGACACGGGCAGGGGGAGGGGGACUUGGGUGAGGAUGGGAG
This 455-nucleotide long non-coding RNA is filed under the name Sus scrofa (pig). RNAcentral's name for it is "lncRNA (ENSSSCG00035019987.1)". Lineage: Eukaryota; Metazoa; Chordata; Mammalia; Artiodactyla; Suidae. The record is from RNAcentral.